GAAUAUGAAGCGAUUUAUUGCAAUUAGUUUCGACCUAAUCUUAGGUAUUAUUACCCCUAUUCU
Molecule: transfer RNA, 63 nt
Filed under: Chamaemyia juncorum
Lineage: Eukaryota; Metazoa; Arthropoda; Insecta; Diptera; Chamaemyiidae
Description: tRNA-Arg
Source: RNAcentral